UGGAAAUGGAAAACGAAAGGGUGGG
RNAcentral lists this non-coding RNA (25 nucleotides) under Rattus norvegicus (Norway rat). The record is from RNAcentral. Lineage: Eukaryota; Metazoa; Chordata; Mammalia; Rodentia; Muridae.